GGGCCGGUGGCGCAGUCUGGUAGGAAGGCCAGGAAAGCGCGCCGCGUUGGCAUCGCGGAGGUCGAGGGUUCGAAUCCCUCCCGGUCCA
RNAcentral lists this transfer RNA (88 nucleotides) under Thermoprotei archaeon. RNAcentral's name for it is "tRNA-Ala". It matches the Rfam family "tRNA". From Rfam's summary of the family: Transfer RNA (tRNA) molecules are approximately 80 nucleotides in length. Their secondary structure includes four short double-helical elements and three loops (D, anti-codon, and T loops). Lineage: Archaea; Thermoproteati; Thermoproteota; Thermoprotei. The record is from RNAcentral.